CCUACGGGAGGCAGCAGUGGGGAAUAUUGGGCAAUGGGCGCAAGCCUGACCCAGCAACGCCGCGUGAAGGAAGAAGGCUUUCGGGUUGUAAACUUCUUUUGUCAGGGACGAAGCAAGUGACGGUACCUGACGAAUAAGCCACGGCUAACUACGGGCCAGCAGCCGCGGUAAUACGUAGGUGGCAAGCGUUAUCCGGAUUUACUGGGUGUAAAGGGCGUGUAGGCGGGGAAGCAAGUCAGAUGUGAAAACCACGGGCUCAACCUGUGGCCUGCAUUUGAAACUGUUUUUCUUGAGUGCUGGGGAGGCAAUCGGAAUUCCGUGUGUAGCGGUGAAAUGCGUAGAUAUACGGAGGAACACCAGUGGCGAAGGCGGAUUGCUGGACAGUAACUGACGCUGAGGCGCGAAAGCGUGGGGAGCAAACAGGAUUAGAUACCCCAGUAGUC
RNAcentral lists this ribosomal RNA (443 nucleotides) under uncultured bacterium. RNAcentral's name for it is "partial 16S ribosomal RNA". It matches the Rfam family "Bacterial small subunit ribosomal RNA", at positions 338 to 795 of the family's 1533-position model. The record is from RNAcentral.